GUUGUAUGGUUAAGUGACUAAGCGUACACGGUGGAUGCCUAGGCAGUCAGAGGCGAUGAAGGACGUAGUAACUUGCGAAAAGCGUAGAUAAGGCAGUAACAGCCACUUGAGUCUACGAUAUCCGAAUGGGGAAACCCAAGUGCAGCAGCACUUAUCAUUAACUGAAUUCAUAGGUUAAUGAGGCAAACCGGGGGAACUGAAACAUCUAAGUACCCCGAGGAGAAGAAAUCAACCGAGAUUCCGAAAGUAGCGGCGAGCGAAAUUGGAUUAGCCCUUAAGCUUUAUAUGCGUCAGGCGAAGGCUCUGGAAAGGGCCGCGGAACAGGGUGAUAGCCCCGUAGCCGUUAGCGCAUGUUCAGUGAAAUCGAGUAGGGCGGGACACGUGAUAUCCUGUCUGAAUAUGGGGGGACCAUCCUCCAAGGCUAAAUACUCCUGAUUGACCGAUAGUGAACCAGUACCGUGAGGGAAAGGCGAAAAGAACCCCUGUGAGGGGAGUGAAAUAGAACCUGAAACCGUGUACGUACAAGCAGUAGGAGCCNAUCAGCAUUAAAGACUUUUUCCGAUAAACGGUUAACAACGCGCAGCGUUGGUCAACCGACUCAUCGGCAGAGGUGGCUUAGUGAUGGGGUGACUGCGUACCUUUUGUAUAAUGGGUCAGCGACUUAUAUUCAGUGGCAAGGUUAACCACAUAGGGGAGCCGUAGCGAAAGCGAGUCUUAACUGGGCGUUCAGUCUCUGGAUAUAGACCCGAAACCGGGUGAUCUAGCCAUGGGCAGGUUGAAGGUUGAGUAACAUCAACUGGAGGACCGAACCGACUAAUGUUGAAAAAUUAGCGGAUGACUUGUGGCUAGGGGUGAAAGGCCAAUCAAACUCGGAGAUAGCUGGUUCUCCCCGAAAGCUAUUUAGGUAGCGCCUCGGACGAAUACUACUGGGGGUAGAGCACUGUUAAGGCUAGGGGGUCAUCCCGACUUACCAACCCUUUGCAAACUCCGAAUACCAGUAAGUACUAUCCGGGAGACACACGGCGGGUGCUAACGUCCGUCGUGAAGAGGGAAACAACCCAGACCGCCAGCUAAGGUCCCAAAGUAUUGCUAAGUGGGAAACGAUGUGGGAAGGCUUAGACAGCUAGGAUGUUGGCUUAGAAGCAGCCAUCAUUUAAAGAAAGCGUAAUAGCUCACUAGUCGAGUCGGCCUGCGCGGAAGAUGUAACGGGGCUAAGCAAUACACCGAAGCUGCGGCAAUGCGCCUUUUCUUUUAUUAGGGAAGGUCGUAUUGGGUAGGGGAGCGUUCUGUAAGCCGUUGAAGGUGAACUGUAAGGUUUGCUGGAGGUAUCAGAAGUGCGAAUGCUGACAUGAGUAACGACAAGGGGGGUGAAAAACCUCCCCGCCGGAAGACCAAGGGUUCCUGUCCAACGUUAAUCGGGGCAGGGUAAGUCGACCCCUAAGGCGAGGCUGAAGAGCGUAGUCGAUGGGAAACGGGUUAAUAUUCCCGUACUUGUUAUGAAUGCGAUGGGGGGACGGAGAAGGCUAGGUGGGCCAGGCGACGGUUGUCCUGGUUCAAGUGAGUAGGCUUGAGAGUUAGGUAAAUCCGGCUCUCUUUAAGGCUGAGACACGACGUCGAGCUGCUACGGCAGUGAAGUCAUUGAUGCCCUGCUUCCAGGAAAAGCCUCUAAGCUUCAGUUCAUAAGAAAUCGUACCCCAAACCGACACAGGUGGUCGGGUAGAGAAUACCAAGGCGCUUGAGAGAACUCGGGUGAAGGAACUAGGCAAAAUGGUACCGUAACUUCGGGAGAAGGUACGCUCUUGACGGUGAAGUCCCUUGCGGAUGGAGCUAUUGAGAGUCGCAGAUACCAGGUGGCUGCAACUGUUUAUUAAAAACACAGCACUGUGCAAAAUCGUAAGAUGACGUAUACGGUGUGACGCCUGCCCGGUGCCGGAAGGUUAAUUGAUGGGGUUAGACGCAAGUCGAAGCUCUUGAUCGAAGCCCCGGUAAACGGCGGCCGUAACUAUAACGGUCCUAAGGUAGCGAAAUUCCUUGUCGGGUAAGUUCCGACCUGCACGAAUGGCGUAAUGAUGGCCACGCUGUCUCCACCCGAGACUCAGUGAAAUUGAAAUCGCUGUGAAGAUGCAGUGUACCCGCGGCUAGACGGAAAGACCCCGUGAACCUUUACUACAGCUUGGCACUGAACAUUGACCCUACAUGUGUAGGAUAGGUGGGAGACUUUGAAGCGCAGUCGCUAGAUUGCGUGGAGUCGACCUUGAAAUACCACCCUUGUAGUGUUGAUGUUCUAACUUAGACCCGUUAUCCGGGUUGAGGACAGUGCCUGGUGGGUAGUUUGACUGGGGCGGUCUCCUCCCAAAGAGUAACGGAGGAGCACGAAGGUGGGCUAAUCACGGUUGGACAUCGUGAGGUUAGUGCAAUGGCAUAAGCCCGCUUAACUGCGAGAAUGACGGUUCGAGCAGGUGCGAAAGCAGGUCAUAGUGAUCCGGUGGUUCUGAAUGGAAGGGCCAUCGCUCAACGGAUAAAAGGUACUCCGGGGAUAACAGGCUGAUACCGCCCAAGAGUUCAUAUCGACGGCGGUGUUUGGCACCUCGAUGUCGGCUCAUCACAUCCUGGGGCUGAAGUCGGUCCCAAGGGUAUGGCUGUUCGCCAUUUAAAGUGGUACGCGAGCUGGGUUUAGAACGUCGUGAGACAGUUCGGUCCCUAUCUGCCGUGGGCGUUGGAGAAUUGAAGGGGGCUGCUCCUAGUACGAGAGGACCGGAGUGGACGAACCUCUGGUGUUCGGGUUGUCACGCCAGUGGCAUUGCCCGGUAGCUAAGUUCGGAAUUGAUAAGCGCUGAAAGCAUCUAAGCGCGAAGCGAGCCCUGAGAUGAGUUCUCCCUGGCAGUUUAACUGUCCUAAAGGGUUGUUCGAGACUAGAACGUUGAUAGGCAGGGUGUGUAAGCGUUGUGAGGCGUUGAGCUAACCUGUACUAAUAGCCCGUGAGGCUUAACCAUACAACACCGAAGGGGUUUUG
This 3013-nucleotide ribosomal RNA is filed under the name Vibrio sp. V26_P1S5P106. Its description in RNAcentral is "23S ribosomal RNA". It matches the Rfam family "Bacterial large subunit ribosomal RNA". Lineage: Bacteria; Pseudomonadati; Pseudomonadota; Gammaproteobacteria; Vibrionales; Vibrionaceae. The record is from RNAcentral.